GCUUGGGAUGCGCCAUUGGUGGUACUGCCCCUUUUUGUGGGUCCUUCCAUUGUGAAUUGACGGAUCGUUGUUUCUGGUUUUCCGGCUGCUGUGUGUUGGACGCUCACGGUGGUUUACAGUUGUCGUCACACAAAUAGCCUGCAUUUCCUAUGACUGGUAACGAUGUGUAGUACGCCGCCAUAACGCUCCCGCGGUAACUGCACGUGCAAGGGUUUCUGUGAUUUUUGUUAGUUUGGGGCAGAAUACAUCCACUGCUGUGACGGCGCUGCUGUUUUGCCUGGGUCUCAUCUUGAUUAAUUUGGUUACGUUCGUGAGUUUGUUUAUGCCAUAUAUGCUUGUGUGCGUAUGUAUGUGUGUGUGUGUGUGUGUGUGUGUGUGGGGAGGGUUUGUAUUGUGGUUGUGUGAGUUAUUUGUUUCCUUGAGCAGAUAUUUGACUAUCUGUGGUUUUGUUUUUUUUGUUUCGGAGUGUAAUUUUGUUUAGGUUUUUGUUUUCUGUAUUUUGUGAUUUUUGUAAUUUCUUUUGUUGUAUUUUUCAGUCAACUUGUAUAGUGGGAGAGCCCAGCUGUGGUUGUAAUGUGUACACAGAGUGUUGUGAUUUAAUAAGUUUGUUGUGCUUUCACAAGUGUUUUUUUCUUAUUUUCGA
Long non-coding RNA from Sinocyclocheilus rhinocerous, 643 nucleotides. RefSeq lists it as uncharacterized. The record is from RefSeq and is a predicted model, not a curated record. NCBI's taxonomy places the organism in Eukaryota, Metazoa, Chordata, Actinopteri, Cypriniformes, Cyprinidae. The transcript is spliced from 4 exons.